GAUGAAGAACGUAGCGAAAUGCGAUAAGUAGUGUGAAUUGCAGAAUUCAGUGAAUCAUCGAAUCUUUGAACGCACAUUGCGCCCUGUGGUAUUCCGCAGGGCAUGCCUGUUCGAGCGUCAUUUCAACCCUCAAGCUCUGCUUGGUGUUGGGCCCUGCCCGCUCGCGGCCGGCCCUAAAGACAGUGGCGGUGCCGUCUGGCUCUAAGCGUAGUACAUCUCUCGCUCUGGUGCCCGGCGGUGUCCUGCCAGAACCCCCCAACUCUGUGGUUGACCUCGGAUCAGGUAGGGAUACCCGCUGAACUUAAGCAUAUCAAUAAGCGGAGGA
Molecule: unclassified non-coding RNA, 325 nt
Filed under: soil metagenome
Description: partial contains 5.8S ribosomal RNA, internal transcribed spacer 2, and large subunit ribosomal RNA
Rfam family: 5.8S ribosomal RNA (bases 1-120)
Source: RNAcentral